Motacilla alba alba is the source of this 440-nucleotide long non-coding RNA. RefSeq lists it as uncharacterized. Lineage: Eukaryota; Metazoa; Chordata; Aves; Passeriformes; Motacillidae. The transcript is spliced from 2 exons. The record is from RefSeq and is a predicted model, not a curated record.
GGCGCUGGCGGCUCCCGCCCCCCUCAGCCCGGCGCCAUCUUGGCGCUUUAGCGGAGCCCGAGCUUUUCCCCUGGUGGAGCUCGGGCCUUGCGCUGUCCCGCUGGGAAACGGGCUCGGGCCGUCAGGAGAGGCGGCGGGAGCUACCCGUGUUUAGCCUAGGGAAGGGAAGGCUGAGAGGGGAUCUCGUUUAUAUACGUCCUGUGAGGAGCGGCUGAGGGGGCGUCUCAGCCUGGCGAAAAGGGGGCUCAGGGGGACCUUACUGCUGUCUGCAGCUACAGGAGGGUGCAGCCAGGUGUGAGUCGGCCUCUCCUCCCACGGAACCAGCGACGGAACGAUGGGGCAGAGCCUUAAGCUGCUCAAGGGCAACUUUAGCAACUGUAGUUUGCAUUUACUGCAUCUCAUUUGGAACCCUAAGUUGGAAGCCAAGUUUCACGAGAAGG